Molecule: small nucleolar RNA, 75 nt
Organism: Quercus robur (English oak)
Lineage: Eukaryota; Viridiplantae; Streptophyta; Magnoliopsida; Fagales; Fagaceae
Product: small nucleolar RNA R21
Exons: 1
Source: RefSeq, a predicted model, not a curated record
CAUCCCAAUGAAGAAUGAUUCAAAUUAAAAGUAGUGGACAGAAAUCUAUUGAUGAGUAAUGAAUUCUGAGGGAUG